This 65-nucleotide transfer RNA is filed under the name Aegla aff. longirostri MHT-2018. RNAcentral describes it as "tRNA-Ile". The record is from RNAcentral. Lineage: Eukaryota; Metazoa; Arthropoda; Malacostraca; Decapoda; Aeglidae.
UAAAAAAUAGGCUAUAAUAAGCCAUCGGGAUGAUACUCCGAGGAUGAGGUUAUCCUCUUUUUUAA